Molecule: ribosomal RNA, 429 nt
Filed under: Bacteroidota bacterium
Lineage: Bacteria; Pseudomonadati; Bacteroidota
Description: Bacteroidetes bacterium partial 16S ribosomal RNA
Rfam family: Bacterial small subunit ribosomal RNA
Source: RNAcentral
UAGGGAAUCUUCGGCAAUGGGGGGAACCCUGACCGAGCAACGCCGCGUGAGUGAAGAAGGUUUUCGGAUCGUAAAGCUCUGUUGUUAAGGAAGAACGAGUGUGAGAAUGGAAAGUUCAUGCUGUGACGGUACUUAACCAGUAAGGGACGGCUAACUACGUGCCAGCAGCCGCGGUAAUACGUAGGUCCCGAGCGUUGUCCGGAUUUAUUGGGCGUAAAGCGAGCGCAGGCGGUUAGAAAAGUCUGAAGUGAAAGGCAGUGGCUCAACCAUUGUAGGCUUUGGAAACUGUUUAACUUGAGUGCAGAAGGGGAGAGUGGAAUUCCAUGUGUAGCGGUGAAAUGCGUAGAUAUAUGGAGGAACACCGGUUGCGAAAGCGGCUCUCUGGUCUGUAACUGACGCUGAGGCUCGAAAGCGUGGGGAGCGAACAGG